AUUGAACGCUGGCGGCAUGCCUUACACAUGCGAGUCGAACGGUAACAGGUCUUCGGAUGCUGACGAGUGGCGAACGGGUGAGUAAUACAUCGGAACGUGCCUAGUAGUGGGGGACAACUACUCGAAAGAGUGGCUAAUACCGCAUGAGAUCUACGGAUGAAAGCAGGGGAUCGCAAGAACUUGUGCUACUAGAGCGGCCGAGGGCAGAUUAGGUAGUUGGUGGGAUAAAAGCUUACCAAGCCGACGAUCUGUAGCUGGUCUGAGAGGACGAUCAGCCACACUGGGACUGAGAAACGGCCCAGACUCCUACGGGAGGCAGCAGUGGGGAAUUUUGGACAAUGGGCGCAAGCCUGAUCCAGCAAUGCCGCGUGCAGGAUGAAGGCCUUCGGGUUGUAAACUGCUUUUGUACGGAACGAAAAGCCCCGGGUUAAUACCCUGGGGUCAUGACGGUACCGUAAGAAUAAGCACCGGCUAACUACGUGCCAGCCGCCGCCGUAA
RNAcentral lists this ribosomal RNA (498 nucleotides) under uncultured bacterium. RNAcentral describes it as "partial 16S ribosomal RNA". It matches the Rfam family "Bacterial small subunit ribosomal RNA", at positions 30 to 523 of the family's 1533-position model. The record is from RNAcentral.